RNAcentral lists this ribosomal RNA (458 nucleotides) under uncultured bacterium. Its description in RNAcentral is "partial 16S ribosomal RNA". It matches the Rfam family "Bacterial small subunit ribosomal RNA", at positions 338 to 795 of the family's 1533-position model. The record is from RNAcentral.
CCUACGGGAGGCAGCAGUGGGGAAUAUUGCACAAUGGGGGAAACCCUGAUGCAGCGACGCCGCGUGAGUGAAGAAGUAAUUCGUUACGUAAAGCUCUAUCAGCAGGGAAGAAACACUGACCUUACGGUCAGCAGACGGUACCUGAGUAAGAAGCACCGGCUAACUACGUGCCAGCAGCCGCGGUAAUACGUAGGGGGCAAGCGUUAUCCGGAUUUACUGGGUGGAAAGGGGGCGUAGACGGUGCGCCAAGUCUGGAGUGAAAUGCCGCAGCUUAACUGCGGAACUGCUUUGGAAACUGGCGAACUAGAGUGCGGGAGGGGUAAGCGGAAUUCCUAGUGUAGCGGUGAAAUGCGUAGAUAUUAGGAGGAACACCGGUGGCGAAGGCGGCUUACUGGACCGUAACUGACGUUGAGGCUCGAAAGCGUGGGGAGCAAACAGGAUUAGAUACCCCGGUAGUC